Molecule: long non-coding RNA, 2298 nt
Organism: Motacilla alba alba
Lineage: Eukaryota; Metazoa; Chordata; Aves; Passeriformes; Motacillidae
Exons: 3
Source: RefSeq, a predicted model, not a curated record
GAAGCGGCGGCGGGGGAAGAGGUCGAGGAGGAAGAAGCUGCGCUCGGAGCGGCGGUGGCAGCGGCCCCUUCCCGGGCUGCGGCGGGGACGGAGCCCGCGGGUGUCCGACCGCGGUGUCCCCCGUGUCCCCACGUGCAGGCUCCUCCGUGUUGCUCUCUGAAAGCAUUUCAAGCUCGACACACAGAAGCUGUUUCUCAGUGAGCAGCUGUGGGGCAUUUGGCUGAUGGUUUUGACAGCAGAGAUGAAUUGAGGACGUGGCAUCUGCAGUCCUGACCUGGAAUUUGAACCCUUUAGUGCCUCUCCCUCCUCCCAGAUGAAGAGGAGGCAGAAGAUCUCGGAAUCUUCUGAUUGCCAUCGAUCUGAUUUUGCUGAGCACUGGCCUCGUAUCACGUAUGUGUGUUCCUUGAGAGAUGAUUUCAAUCUGAAAAAAAACCCUGGAAGAGGGAAUUGGAUCAUAUUUUUAUCUUCUUCCCCACAUCUGUGAAGACUAGACAUUUCUUUAACAGAGGGGAAAAUAAAGUAAAUUGAGAUUUCCAUGUGGUAACGUGGCUGAAAGAAGACAUGAAUACUUGGAAAUUCAUGCUCAUUAGUACCGGCACAGAUGUGACUCUGUAGAGCUGAAGCUAACCAGGACCAGGGUAUAGAGAUGAGAACUGCACAUAAUUGAGGCCCUGAUUAAUUAAAAGCAAUUUCUUGGCACAGACAAUGAUGGAGCAUCCUUGGGUGGAUCUGCACAUGUCCCAGUGGAUGUGUGCUCCGGGCCCUGCUGCCUGUGCUGGGGUGAGCCUUUGUGUGGGCAGGCAAGGGGUAGAAAAGUGGCUUUGCCAAGGAAGCCGAGCCAAGAGGAGCAGUGAGCCACCUCUCCACUGCAGCUUCAGGUGUGCUGCUGCACCCAGCACUCAUGUGCCCUGUGCUUCUCCAGGGGCUCCACGCUUGGAACAGCUGCUGGAGGAACUGUGGCAUCAGGAAGGAAAUCCUGUGCACACAGGGGAAGCUCCUUUUCAUGCAGGAUCAUAAACAAAACCGUGAAAGAGUAGUGAUGGAUCCAGCAGCCCUGGGGAGGCCCCACAUUGCUGGAACCACCAGCUUCAUGGAACAUUUUCCUGGAGCCCAAUAGUGGCUUUCUAGACUUAAAAACUGAUCACAUUUCCUUUCUUCCCUCCCUUCCAAAGGCAUUUUUUGUCAUCUGCGUCCAAAACUUCCAGCAGAAACUCCAUGAUUGGAGCAAUUUGGUCCAAUACCAUGGGAAGAGACUGCUCCACACACUUUAGGAAGAGCAAAAAGGAGAAAGAAAAGAAGGUUAAGCCCUCCAUGCUGUGCCUGAUCACUUGUCAAAGCCAGCUGCCUCCUGUGCUGACUUGAGGACGUGACAGAUGUCUGUAGCCUUUACAGGUGCAGGGCCUGCAUUUCAUCAGUCUUUUUUCCAUGGAUGACCUGGAGUGUGGAUUAUUAGCAGCUCAGAUUUCUUUGGCCAAGGUGCUUUGUUGUGUACACAUCCGGGUUGAAGCUAAGCAAUAUUUUUGAUCCAUGUAGGCUUCUGACUCGGUCCUGCAUAUUUGGUGUUUACAAAAUGAUCGGAGUUUGAACUCUCCCUGUUCUGUUUCUUAAAUGUCAGCAGAAACUUUUUUUCUUUUUUUUUUUAAAUAAAACAAUGCAGCCUUCCCCUGCAAUGUUUGUAACCAAGAAACUGUGGCAUCACAAGAGCAUGAGGAAAUACUGGCUGAUUAAAACCAGGGUAAGAAAUGACAGCGAAAGUGUUUGUCUUUUUUUUUUUUUUCCCUCAUUUCAGAAUUCACAAUGAAGUGGCUGGUAAAAUGGGACCAGUUGGUUCAGCCCCGCUUGGGCUGAAUAUGAUGUUUAAUGUGCUGAAACUACUUCCACUGGCAAACUUUAGUGUGAUAAUUUAAUUUCUCAUGUAAAGCACAUCUCACAGCAUGGCUUUUUUCCCUACCUCCCUCUGUUUUGCCAAAGUAAAAUAAGUUUGGACUAUUGUUGGCUUUCUUUGCAUUGUUUUUUUGUCUUUUUCCUCUCAUUAAUAUACAAGAGGUAUUAAAUAGUAAUGAUGCCAGUAUUGACCUCUGCUGUGCCUUGCUGUUUGCUCAUUUUUGCUUCAAGGAGCAGAUGUUCUCUGUCUUUGUUUUCUGUUGCCAAAUGGGGACUUUGCCCCUUUAACCUUUGAUAAGGUGCUUUAAUAAUCUCUGAUGUGAGAUUUUAUCAAAAGCCAAGUAAAUCAUACCUGCCUGGCAGCUUCUUUUAAACAUUCCCUUCGUGGUUUACAGCAGUUCAAGAAAGCGCAGU